Molecule: ribosomal RNA, 806 nt
Filed under: uncultured bacterium
Lineage: Bacteria
Description: bacterial SSU rRNA
Rfam family: Bacterial small subunit ribosomal RNA
Source: RNAcentral
AGAGUUUGAUCCUGGCUCAGGAUGAACGCUGGCGGCGUGCCUAAUACAUGCAAGUCGAGCGAACGGACGAGAAGCUUGCUUCUCUGAUGUUAGCGGCGGACGGGUGAGUAACACGUGGAUAACCUACCUAUAAGACUGGGAUAACUUCGGGAAACCGGAGCUAAUACCGGAUAAUAUUUUGAACCGCAUGGUUCAAAAGUGAAAGGCGGUCUUGCUGUCACUUAUAGAUGGAUCCGCGCUGCAUUAGCUAGUUGGUAAGGUAACGGCUUACCAAGGCAACGAUGCAUAGCCGACCUGAGAGGGUGAUCGGCCACACUGGAACUGAGACACGGUCCAGACUCCUACGGGAGGCAGCAGUAGGGAAUCUUCCGCAAUGGGCGAAAGCCUGACGGAGCAACGCCGCGUGAGUGAUGAAGGUCUUCGGAUCGUAAAACUCUGUUAUUGGGGAAGAACAUAUGUGUAAGUAACUGUGCACAUCUUGACGGUACCUAAUCAGAAAGCCACGGCUAACUACGUGCCAGCAGCCGCGGUAAUACGUAGGUGGCAAGCGUUAUCCGGAAUUAUCGGGCGUAAAGCGCGCGUAGGCGGUUUUUUAAGUCUGAUGUGAAAGCCCACGGCUCAACCGUGGAGGGUCAUUGGAAACUGGAAAACUUGAGUGCAGAAGAGGAAAGUGGAAUUCCAUGUGUAGCGGUGAAAUGCGCAGAGAUAUGGAGGAACACCAGUGGCGAAGGCGACUUUCUGGUCUGUAACUGACGCUGAUGUGCGAAAGCGUGGGGAUCAAACAGGAUUAGAUACCCUGGUAGUCC